RNAcentral lists this ribosomal RNA (781 nucleotides) under Lactiplantibacillus plantarum. RNAcentral's name for it is "bacterial SSU rRNA". It matches the Rfam family "Bacterial small subunit ribosomal RNA", at positions 69 to 828 of the family's 1533-position model. Lineage: Bacteria; Bacillati; Bacillota; Bacilli; Lactobacillales; Lactobacillaceae. The record is from RNAcentral.
AUUGGUGCUUGCAUCAUGAUUUACAUUUGAGUGAGUGGCGAACUGGUGAGUAACACGUGGGAAACCUGCCCAGAAGCGGGGGAUAACACCUGGAAACAGAUGCUAAUACCGCAUAACAACUUGGACCGCAUGGUCCGAGUUUGAAAGAUGGCUUCGGCUAUCACUUUUGGAUGGUCCCGCGGCGUAUUAGCUAGAUGGUGGGGUAACGGCUCACCAUGGCAAUGAUACGUAGCCGACCUGAGAGGGUAAUCGGCCACAUUGGGACUGAGACACGGCCCAAACUCCUACGGGAGGCAGCAGUAGGGAAUCUUCCACAAUGGACGAAAGUCUGAUGGAGCAACGCCGCGUGAGUGAAGAAGGGUUUCGGCUCGUAAAACUCUGUUGUUAAAGAAGAACAUAUCUGAGAGUAACUGUUCAGGUAUUGACGGUAUUUAACCAGAAAGCCACGGCUAACUACGUGCCAGCAGCCGCGGUAAUACGUAGGUGGCAAGCGUUGUCCGGAUUUAUUGGGCGUAAAGCGAGCGCAGGCGGUUUUUUAAGUCUGAUGUGAAAGCCUUCGGCUCAACCGAAGAAGUGCAUCGGAAACUGGGAAACUUGAGUGCAGAAGAGGACAGUGGAACUCCAUGUGUAGCGGUGAAAUGCGUAGAUAUAUGGAAGAACACCAGUGGCGAAGGCGGCUGUCUGGUCUGUAACUGACGCUGAGGCUCGAAAGUAUGGGUAGCAAACAGGAUUAGAUACCCUGGUAGUCCAUACCGUAAACGAUGAAUGCUAAGUGUUGGAG